UACGUAGGGUGCGAGCGUUGUCCGGAAUUAUUGGGCGUAAAGAGCUCGUAGGCGGCUUGUCACGUCGGUUGUGAAAGCCCGGGGCUUAACCCCGGGUCUGCGGUCGAUACGGGCGGACUAGAGUACUGCAGGGGAGACUGGAAUUCCUGGUGUAGCGGUGAAAUGCGCAGAUAUCAGGAGGAACACCGGUGGCGAAGGCGGGUCUCUGGGCAGUAACUGACGCUGAGGAGCGAAAGCAUGGGGAGCGAACAGG
This 253-nucleotide ribosomal RNA is filed under the name uncultured bacterium. RNAcentral's name for it is "partial 16S ribosomal RNA". It matches the Rfam family "Bacterial small subunit ribosomal RNA", at positions 524 to 776 of the family's 1533-position model. The record is from RNAcentral.